RNAcentral lists this ribosomal RNA (677 nucleotides) under uncultured archaeon. Its description in RNAcentral is "bacterial SSU rRNA". It matches the Rfam family "Archaeal small subunit ribosomal RNA", at positions 321 to 999 of the family's 1478-position model. The record is from RNAcentral.
CCCUAUGGGGUGCAGCAGGCGCGAAACCUUUACAAUGCACGAGAGUGUGAUAAGGGAAUUCUCAGUGCUCAUGCAUUGCAUGGGCUUUUGCCAAAGCUAAAUCCUUUGGCGAAUAAGUGGUGGGUAAGACUGGUGCCAGCCGCCGCGGUAACACCAGCGCCACAAGUGGGGGUCGCGAUUAUUGGGCCUAAAGCGUCUGUAGCCGGCUCUGUAAAUCUUCUGUGAAAUCGUUGAGCUUAACUUAACGGAUUGCAGAAGACACUGCAGAACUCGAGACCGGGAGGAGUUAGAGGUAUUUCAUGGGGAGCGGUAAAAUGCUAUAAUCCAUGGAGGACCACCGAUGGCGAAGGCAUCUAACCAGAACGGAUUUGACGGUGAGAGACGAAAGCCAGGGGAGCAAACCGGAUUAGAUACCCGAGUAGUCCUGGCCGUAAACGCUGUGAGCUAGGUGUUGCGUAAUCUACGGGAUUACGCAGUGUCGAAACGAAGGUGCUAAGCUCACCGCCUGGGAAGUACGGUCGCAAGGCUGAAACUUAAAGGAAUUGGCGGGGGAGCACCACAAGGGGUGCGGCGUGCGGUUUAAUCUAACUUAACGCAGAGAAUCUCACCAGAGCCGACGGCAGGAUGAAGGUCAAUCUGAAGGGUUUACUUGACGAGCCGAGAGGUGGUGCAUGGCC